GCCUCGGCCGGCUGAUUAAUUAAUUUCCGCGGGCUAAUGAUGUCAGUCGAGUUUCUGCAAACAAACCACGAGUGCGUGCGUACCCAGCCACACACCGACCCACGCGAGAAAGGAACGCGCGCCUCCACCGAGGCGUAUUCCGAUAGAUUCUGCCAUCGAUUCUCAUUAACAUAAACAGAGUGUUUAUCAAUAGCCGCGUUGUGCAAUUUAAUGAAACUGAAAUGCCGUAUCUCCGAGCGGAACCGUUAAUACGGUGUUUUUCCUCGAUUUUCCGCAAAGCGGAGGUUGGCUAAUGGAGGAGAAGGAAGCGAACCUGAUCGAUCCCUCCGUAGAUGGUUCUAGAAACGAUUUAGGAGUUACUACUGGGACAAUUUUUCGACAACUGACCACGACAAGGUGGACAAGGAAGCGGGUGGCCCAAUGAAAAAUGUAGCG
Hylaeus volcanicus is the source of this 435-nucleotide long non-coding RNA. RefSeq lists it as uncharacterized. The transcript is spliced from 4 exons. Lineage: Eukaryota; Metazoa; Arthropoda; Insecta; Hymenoptera; Colletidae. The record is from RefSeq and is a predicted model, not a curated record.